GAGGCGGGUGGAGGCGGGGGUUCCUCACUUCAGACAGCUCAGCGCGGGGCCCGAGGCCCAGCCCCAUGCCCACAGCUCCUCCAGACCCUGGGUGAGCCGGACCCCGGUGAGCGCGGGCCCCUUGCCUGCAGGCCCCAACCACUGGCAACAUUGUGCUGCUGGCGCAGCCGAGCUGCCUGGCGCCCCCCACCUCCGCUCCCCACGCCAGCGUGCUGAUGCUGCUGAUAGUGGUAGUGCCCAUCCCGGUGCUGUGGAGGGCAGGGGGCCCAGACAGACACCAUGAGAUGCAGGCCACCUGCAGCGUGGUGUACGACCCCUGCCUUGUGCAGGGCCCGGCGCCGGCGGGUGGCCAAAUGCCUUGAGGGAGCAGAGCAGAGCGAUGCGCAGUCACCCUCCACGCUGGUGCAGGGCCCCCAGAGGAAGCAGGGCUUUACCAACAAAAUGAUCCCCCGCCCCGGACCUCCUAGGGACCCGAGUCCUCCAGGCCCUUUGGGGCUGCUCUGAAAGAAGGGUGAGCCAGGCAAGCCGGGCCCUCGGUGUCUGCGGACGCGGGGACAGCGGCGCCAUCAGCACGGCCACCUACAUCACGGUGCCGUGCGUCGUCUUCUACCUCAGUUUCAAUAAAUCCCACACGAAUGUUAGGAUGUGCUGAAGUCUGACG
Molecule: long non-coding RNA, 661 nt
Filed under: Homo sapiens (human)
Lineage: Eukaryota; Metazoa; Chordata; Mammalia; Primates; Hominidae
Description: non-protein coding lnc-TP53TG3F-35:1
Source: RNAcentral